Molecule: long non-coding RNA, 505 nt
Organism: Xiphophorus hellerii (green swordtail)
Lineage: Eukaryota; Metazoa; Chordata; Actinopteri; Cyprinodontiformes; Poeciliidae
Exons: 2
Source: RefSeq, a predicted model, not a curated record
AAAUAUGUAACGAUAUUUUUAUUGCUUUGCGCCCUAUAUCGCCGUUUCCCGCUACGGCUCCUUGUCUCUAUCAUAUUUGCCAGCCGCAAUGCCACUCUGAUGGUCCAUCCUGUGCUGGUGGAGCCUCCUGGAGGAACAGCAAGCGAGCGGACGGUUCCAUUUCAGCUCAAGCAGCGCAUCAAAAAUGACAACCUUCCAGCACUGGAAAUAUAAGGAGCAUUUCAUUUACAUAUGUGAAAAUGGCUCAAAUUUAACCGUGCAGUGCAAGAAGUGUUUGCCGGCUAUCAAGAACUUGUCCACGUCGAAGCAAUCUAUGUCAAACCUGAGGAAACAUUUAGAGAGGAAGCAUCCAGGCGUUCUUCUGAAAGGCACGUUUAGUCCAUCUGAUACUCGGGACCCAUCGUCCAUCUUAAUUCUUGAUGCACUGUAUUGUGCCGUGUUUAAUUUUACAAGCAAGGGUGUGCAAAGAAAAAAUCAAGAAAAAUAAAAUGUGAUGUAAAAGUCU